AAACAAUUGUAUUCAAUGGAAGGUAGAGAUGCUCUUUCAUUUAGAUGGAAAAUCAAAUUAUAAAGAUCAUUCACUACAGGAAGGCAGCUGCAAUAAACAUCCAACUGAUUCAACUGCAGAGAUGUAGGAGAAAAAAGAAAGAAGGAGAGCAAAAUGACUUAAAGACAUUUUCAAGAAAAAAAGAGGAGAGAAGUCACUGAAAUGGAAAAAUAAACAUAUUAUAUAACUAUUUAUUGCACUAUGCAAUAAAAACAUCUUCAGCAACAGCCACACAAGUGCGGGUAGAGGGUCUGCUUUGAAGAGAGAAAAAAGGCUGCUGCAGAAAAAACAAACCUCAAUUCAUAAUUGGAGCUUUUGUUCUUUCUGGAUUGUUUUGUGAAGAACAUGCUGCCAAAAAACAUUUUUCUUCUGUAACCGCUUCUUUUGAAACUCCAUUCUUUUUUAUUUCAAGGAUGUUUAUUAUCUACUCAUUUCUUUUUAUUUAUUUUUGAAUCAUAUACCCCAAUGUCUAGAUGACUGGGACCACUAGGUUUCAUAUUUCCCAGAUGAGAUUAGUUGUACAGUUCAUUUUGCAGGUUUAUUCAGAGCAUUUCAAUGGCAUUUCACCUACAGUUCACCUAUAUUGAGUCCUAAGAAAUUGAAGGUGUUUCUUGAUAGUUCUCCUGCUCCAUCUUCUUCCAGGGGAUUGAUUUGGCUUCUUAUGUUUUUGUAUUUGGUUGCUCAUUAGAGAUAAGCCUGAUUAUUUGGCAUUGUGUAUUUUCUCUGUUUUAAAAAGGGAAAAUACAACAUGUUAUUAAUUAUUAUGAUAUAAUAAAAAAUGGAGAGAAGGAAAAAGAUUUUCAUCCU
RNAcentral lists this long non-coding RNA (846 nucleotides) under Homo sapiens (human). RNAcentral's name for it is "lncRNA SMARCA2 (BRM) associated". Lineage: Eukaryota; Metazoa; Chordata; Mammalia; Primates; Hominidae. The record is from RNAcentral.